AUGUGGUUUAAUUCGAAGCAACGCGAAGAACUUACCAGGUCUUGACAUCCCGAUGCUAUUUCUAGAGAUAGAAAGUUACUUCGGUACAUCGGUGACAGGUGGUGCAUGGUUGUCGUCAGCUCGUGUCGUGAGAUGUUGGGUUAAGUCCCGCAACGAGCGCAACCCCUAUUGUUAGUUGCCAUCAUUCAGUUGGGCACUCUAGCGAGACUGCCGGUAAUAAACCGGAGGAAGGUGGGGAUGACGUCAAAUCAUCAUGCCCCUUAUGACCUGGGCUACACACGUGCUACAAUGGUUGGUACAACGAGUUGCGAGUCGGUGACGGCGAGCUAAUCUCUUAAAGCCAAUCUCAGUUCGGAUUGUAGGCUGCAACUCGCCUACAUGAAGUCGGAAUCGCUAGUAAUCGCGGAUCAGCACGCCGCGGUGAAUACGUUCCCGGGCCUU
Molecule: ribosomal RNA, 441 nt
Filed under: uncultured Streptococcus sp.
Lineage: Bacteria; Bacillati; Bacillota; Bacilli; Lactobacillales; Streptococcaceae
Description: bacterial SSU rRNA
Rfam family: Bacterial small subunit ribosomal RNA
Source: RNAcentral